This 341-nucleotide unclassified non-coding RNA is filed under the name Hevea brasiliensis (rubber tree). The record is from RNAcentral. Lineage: Eukaryota; Viridiplantae; Streptophyta; Magnoliopsida; Malpighiales; Euphorbiaceae.
GGCACUGCAAGAAUUUUUGGUGGCAAUCAACUAGAAGCCAACACUGACAGAGUUGUUGGCACAUAUGGAUACAUGGCUCCAGAAUAUGCACUAGAAGGAGUUAUUUCAAUCAAGUCAGAUGUCUACAGCUUUGGAAUCCUAAUGCUAGAGAUCAUAAGUGGUAAAAAGAACAGGGGCUUCUACAACCCAGAGCAUGACCCUAGCCUUCUGUUACAUGCCUGGAAGCUCUGGAAUGAAGGCAAAGGUGAGGAUUUGAUAGACCCGAACAUAGUUCAUUCUUGUCCCAGAAGUGAAGCCUUGAGAUGGAUCCAUAUCGCUUUGUUGUGUGUUCAAGAUGACCC